AACGAACGCUGGCGGCAUGCCUAACACAUGCAAGUCGAACGAGACCUUCGGGUCUAGUGGCGCACGGGUGCGUAACGCGUGGGAACCUGCCCUUAGGUUCGGAAUAACUCCCCGUAAGGGGUGCUAAUACCGGAUAAUGUCUUCGGACCAAAGAUUUAUCGCCUUUGGAUGGGCCCGCGUUGGAUUAGCUAGUUGGUAGGGUAAAAGCCUACCAAGGCGACGAUCCAUAGCUGGUCUGAGAGGAUGAUCAGCCACACUGGGACUGAGACACGGCCCAGACUCCUACGGGAGGCAGCAGUGGGGAAUAUUGGACACUGGGCGAAAGCCUGAUCCAGCAAUGCCGCGUGAGUGAUGAAGGGCUUAGGGUUGUAAAGCUCUUUUACCCGGGAUGAUAAUGACAGUACCGGGAGAAUAAGCUCCGGCUAACUCCGUG
This 433-nucleotide ribosomal RNA is filed under the name uncultured bacterium. RNAcentral's name for it is "partial 16S ribosomal RNA". It matches the Rfam family "Bacterial small subunit ribosomal RNA", at positions 29 to 507 of the family's 1533-position model. The record is from RNAcentral.